AGUGAACGCUGGCGGCGUGCUUAACACAUGCAAGUCGAACGAGAACGGAUUAUAGCUUGCUAUAAUUGUCAGCUAAGUGGCGCACGGGUGAGUAAUGUAUAGGUAAUAUGCCUCUUACUAAGGGAUAACAAAUGGAAACGUUUGCUAAUACCUUAUACUCCUUAUUAACAGAAGUUAAUAAGGGAAAGAUUUAUUGGUAAGAGAUUAGCCUGUAUUGUAUCAGUUAGUUGGUGGGGUAAUGGCUUACCAAGACUAUGACACAUAACUGGUUUGAGGGGAUGAUCAGUAACACUGGAACUGGGAAACGGUCCAGACUCCUACGGGAGGCAGCAGUGGGGAAUAUUGCACAAUGGACGAAAGUCUGAUGCAGCAACGCCGCGUGGAGGAUGACACAUUUCGGUGCGUAAACUCCUUUUAUAUGAGAAGAUAAUGACGGUAUUAUAUGAAUAAGCACCGGCUAACUCCGUGCCAGCAGCCGCCGUAA
Molecule: ribosomal RNA, 484 nt
Filed under: uncultured bacterium
Lineage: Bacteria
Description: partial 16S ribosomal RNA
Rfam family: Bacterial small subunit ribosomal RNA
Source: RNAcentral